UAAACGAAAGAAAAGAGUAAGUUUUGAAUUGCAAUUAUCGAAUAUUGUUAUAAUUCUUCUUAUUUAUAGUUCUUGAAAGUAAUAAAUAACCAUAAAUCAAUUAAUUUUUUUUUUUCUUAGAAACUCAGUGAAAGCGAUGAUGGCCCUUUACCCGUCAAAACUGCAUUUCUCAAUAAAGAUCUCAUAAAAACUCUUCCGGACGGAACUAAUAUAAGUAACUACAUCAAAGAG
This is a long non-coding RNA of Cotesia glomerata, 231 nucleotides long. RefSeq lists it as uncharacterized. The transcript is spliced from 2 exons. NCBI's taxonomy places the organism in Eukaryota, Metazoa, Arthropoda, Insecta, Hymenoptera, Braconidae. The record is from RefSeq and is a predicted model, not a curated record.